This 80-nucleotide transfer RNA is filed under the name Dallia pectoralis (Alaska blackfish). RNAcentral describes it as "tRNA-Ser". It matches the Rfam family "tRNA". From Rfam's summary of the family: Transfer RNA (tRNA) molecules are approximately 80 nucleotides in length. Their secondary structure includes four short double-helical elements and three loops (D, anti-codon, and T loops). Further hydrogen bonds mediate the characteristic L-shaped molecular structure. tRNAs have two regions of fundamental functional importance: the anti-codon, which is responsible for specific mRNA codon recognition, and the 3' end, to which the tRNAs corresponding amino acid is attached (by aminoacyl-tRNA synthetases). tRNAs cope with the degeneracy of the genetic code in two manners: having more than one tRNA (with a specific anti-codon) for a particular amino acid; and 'wobble' base-pairing, i.e. permitting non-standard base-pairing at the 3rd anti-codon position. Lineage: Eukaryota; Metazoa; Chordata; Actinopteri; Esociformes; Umbridae. The record is from RNAcentral.
GCUUUGAUGGCCGAGUGGUUAAGGCGUUUGUUUUGAAAUCCAAUGGGGUUUCCGCGCAGGUUCGAACCCUGAUCUCAGCG